UACGUAGGGUGCGAGCGUUAAUCGGAAUUACUGGGCGUAAAGCGUGCGCAGGCGGUUCGUUGUGUCGGUGGUGAAAGCCCCGGGCUCAACCUGGGAAUGGCCAUGGAAACUGGCGAACUGGAGUGUGGCAGAGGGGGGUGGAAUUCCGCGUGUAGCAGUGAAAUGCGUAGAGAUGCGGAGGAACACCGAUGGCGAAGGCAGCCCCCUGGGCUGACACUGACGCUCAGGCACGAAAGCGUGGGGAGCAAACAGG
RNAcentral lists this ribosomal RNA (253 nucleotides) under uncultured bacterium. RNAcentral describes it as "partial 16S ribosomal RNA". It matches the Rfam family "Bacterial small subunit ribosomal RNA", at positions 524 to 776 of the family's 1533-position model. The record is from RNAcentral.